UAAGCCGAAUUUGUUUAGUAAAAAAAGGGAAGCAUCAGAGAAGGAGGUGGGCUUAUGAAUGGGUAUAGAGAGUGGGAGAGGUGGGACACAGCCCCUUCCCCUCCCCCAAAUAGAGAGGGCAAGGAGAGGCAGCACAGCCAGCAGAGCCAGAAGUGAAGAGGUGGGGCCAGAGUCUCUCCACUUCUGGCCACGCUGCUCUCCCCCCAGCCUCCGAAGCAGCUGCAGCAGCUCCGGGGCUGGCAGGCUGCGGCUGCACCGCCCGGCGUGCUGGAGCAGCUCCGGCCAGGCCAGAGACAUCCUCCCUGGCCUGCCCUAGCUUUAGGCCCAGGAAGCAACUUCAGGAGAAGAGAUUACGAUCCACUAAGCAUACUUUUCAAGAAAAUACCUACAGCUAUUUUGUCCCACUAGAAGAUAAACCAAGCAAACAGAAGGCUAUCCAACAGAAAGUUGUUUUUGUUUUGGGGUUGUUUGUUGUUUUUUUGGAUGGGGGUGGGGGGAGGUGCUUCAAGGGAAAAAGAGUGACUUUGCUAACCAGCAUUGGAGAAGGCCAAACUGUGUAACAAAUUGAGCUCUAGUACAGUGGCUCUCAACCUUUCCACACUACUGUACCCUUUUCAGAUUUGUCUUGCGUACCCCCAAGUUUCACAUAAUUUAAAAACUACUUGCUUACAAAAUCAGACAUAAAAAUACAGAAGUGUCACAGCACACUAUUACUGACAAAUUGCUUACUUUCUCAUUUUUACCAUAUAGAUAUAAAAUAAAUCAGUUGAAAUAUAAAAUAUUGUACUUACAUUUAAGAGUGUAUAGCAUAUACAGCAGUAUAAACAAGUCAUUGUCUGUAUCAAAUUUCAAUUUGUACUGACUUCACUGGUACUUUUUAUGUAGCCUGUUGUAAAACUAGGCAAAUAUCUAGAUGAGCUGAUGUACCUCCUGGAAGACUUCUACGUACCUCGGUUGAGAACCACUGCUUUCGUGUGAACAACGUAGGACAGCUUUUUUUUUUUUUUUUUUUUUUAAACAACAACAUCUCUUACUCAAUGAGGUAAUGGCAUUUUAGCUUCUUCUAAGAACAGCCUCCUAACAGGCUUGUAAAAUGCAUCCAAUCCACACACAAAAGGGCUCCAAGCUAUAUGGGUGCAUGCCAAACUCCAUUUAGUUGCCAGUGUGCAUGGAGGUCACUUGUGUAAUAGCACUAAUGGUUCAAACAGUCCUUCCACUAUUCUCCAACCCUGCACAGGUGGCCUUUCAGAAUCUCCCAGAGUCAGUCUGGGACCUGUUCUCAAAACUGUGGGAUAAGCCUUCAGAAGGAAACACAGCUAAGGAUUUGUCUACACAGCAGGGUAAUGUGCACUGUGGGCGUACAAUUUCCACAGCGCACGAACAUGUUGGACAUUAAUUGGGCCACGUAGAUCCUUCUGGUGCACACUGAAGGUUUCCUAAUGCAUUUUAAUGUAAUGCUUUACUACUCCUUUGGGGUUGUGUGUUAUGGGGAUUGGUUUCGCUUUUUGACAUGAAAUUGUGGGAACAGAGUCAAACACAUUCAGCUGCUAAACUGCAGACGUUCCAUUUUAUGCACAAGAGCAGGAGCCUUUUGAGGACAUCAUCAAAAGUAUAUUACUUAUGGAGGAUUAGGGUUCCAUGAAUAACCUCAUCUGCUCCAACAGACAAAUCAGCUUAUGGAGUUUGGUUGUAUCUUUUACUUAAGCAGGAAAAGGACAUUUUGACAUUUUAAGUACUAGUUAAAAAAAAAAAAAAGUGUUUUAUUAGUUGUUCUUUCAAAUAAUCUUACUAUUAAUUGUUUAGAAAUACAAGAGUGCC
This is a long non-coding RNA of Chelonia mydas (Green sea turtle), 1818 nucleotides long. RefSeq lists it as uncharacterized. The record is from RefSeq and is a predicted model, not a curated record. The transcript is spliced from 2 exons. NCBI's taxonomy places the organism in Eukaryota, Metazoa, Chordata, Testudines, Cheloniidae.